Molecule: non-coding RNA, 1737 nt
Organism: Cricetulus griseus (Chinese hamster)
Lineage: Eukaryota; Metazoa; Chordata; Mammalia; Rodentia; Cricetidae
Source: RefSeq, a predicted model, not a curated record
ACAGUCCUUCCCCAGAUGAGACCAGUGUCCAGGGUUCUGGCUCCUCAUCUCACUCGGGCCUAUGUCAAAGAUGCAAAAUUUGGAUCGGAUGCCAGAGUCUUAAUGCUUCAAGUUGUAGACCUUUUAGCCGAUGCUGUAGCUAUCAUAAUGAGACCAAAGGGAAGAUUGGUGAUUAUUAAACAGAAUUGGAGAAGUUCCAGUGUAACAAAAGAUGGGGUUACUGUUGCAAAGGCAAUUAAUUUAAAGGAUAAAUACAAAAAUAUCAGAGCUAAACUUGUUCAAGAUGUUGCAAAUAACACAAAUGAAGAGCCUGGGUAUGGCACUACCACUGCUACUGUUCUGGCAUGUUCUAUUGCCAAGGAAGGCAUUGAGAAGAUCAGCAAAGGGGCUAAUCCAGUAGAAACCUGGAGAGGUGUGAUGUUGGCUGUUGAUGCUGUAAUUGCUGAAAUAAAAAAACCAAUCUAAAGCUGUGAAAACUGAAGAAAUUGCUCAGGUUGCUACAAUUUCUGCAAAUAAAGACAAAGACAUUGGAAACAUCACUUCUGAUGAAAUAAAAAGUUUGGAAGGAAGGGUGUCAUCACAGCGAAGGGUGGAAAAAGCCUGAAUGAUGAAUUAGAAAUUAUUGAAGGCAUGAAGUUUGACAGAGGAUAUAUUUCCUUAUAUUUUAUUAACACAUCAAAAGGUCAAAAAUGUGAAUUCCAAGAUACCUAUGUUCUGUUGAGUGAAAAGAAAAUUUCUAGUGUCCAGUCCAUUGUACUUGCUCUUGAAAUUACUAAUGCUCAUGGGAAGCCCUUGGUCAUAAUUUCUGAAGAUAUUGAUGGAGAAGCCUAAACACACUGGUUUUGAACAGGCUAAAAGUUGGUUUUCAGGUUGUGGCAGUCAAAGCUCCAGGUUUUGGGGAAAAUAGGAAGAAUCAGCUUAAAGACUACUGGUGGUGCUACUGGUGGUGGGGUAUUUGGAGAAGAGGGGCUAAAUCUAAAUCUUGAAGAUGCUCAAGCUCAUGACUUUCCUUUCAAAAGCAUGGUGUCAUCUUUGGUGACAAUGAAAGUUGAAGAGGUCAUGGUCACCAAAGAUGACACCAUGUUUUUGAAAGGAAAGGGUGACAAAGCUCAAAUUGAGAAGCACAUUCAAGAAAUGACUGAGCAGCUAGACAUCACAACUAGUGAAUAUUAAAAAGGAAAACUGAACGAAAGACUCACUAAACUUUCAGAUGAAGUAGAUGUGUUGAAGGUUGGAGGAACAAGAGAUGUUGAAAUGAAUCAGAAGAAAUACAGAGUUACAAUGCUCUCAAUGCUACAAGAGCAGCUGUUGAGGAAUAUAUUGUUCUAGGAGGGGGCUGCUCUCUGCUUUGAUGCAUCCCAGCCUUGGAUUCAUGAAAGCCUUCUAAUGAAGAUCAGAAAAUACGUAUAGAAAUCAUUAAAAGAGCACUCAAAAUUCCUGCAAUGACAAUCGCUAAGAAUGCAGGUAUUGAAGGAUCUUUGAUAGUUGAGAAAAUUCUGCAGAGUUCCUCGAAAGUUGGUUGUGAUGCUAUGCUCGGAGACUUUGCUAACAUGGUGGAAAAGGGAAUCAUUGAUCCAACAAAGGUUGUAAGAACUGCUUUCCUUUCCUGGAUGCUGUUGGGGUGGCCUCCUUGCUAACUACAGCAGAAGCUGUAGUGACCAAAAUUCCUAAAGAAGAGACCCUGGAAUGGGCACAAUGUAUGGGAUAGCUGGGGUUAUGUGAGAUGGCAUGUUCUAA